RNAcentral lists this ribosomal RNA (452 nucleotides) under uncultured bacterium. RNAcentral describes it as "bacterial SSU rRNA". It matches the Rfam family "Bacterial small subunit ribosomal RNA", at positions 28 to 498 of the family's 1533-position model. The record is from RNAcentral.
GAUGAACGCUAGCGGCGUGCCUAACACAUGCAAGUCGAACGCGAGAGGGUACUUGUAUCCUUGAAAGUGGCGGACGGGUGAGUAAGACGUAGGUGACCUGCCUUGAAGUGGGGGAUAACCAUUGGAAACGAUGGCUAAUACCGCAUAAGCUGGUGAUGAUGGGAAUCGUUAUCAGGAAAGCUUUAGUGCUUUGAGAGGGGCCUACGGCCGAUUAGCUAGUUGGUGAGGUAAAGGCUCACCAAGGCGAUGAUCGGUAGCUGGUCUGAGAGGACGAUCAGCCACACGGGAACUGAGACACGGUCCCGACUCCUACGGGGGGCAGCAGUGAGGAAUAUUCGGCAAUGGGGGCAACCCUGACCGAGCAACGCCGCGUGGAGGAUGACGGUUUUCGGAUUGUAAACUCCUUUUCUCAGGGAAGAGCGAGGACGGUACCUGAGGAAUAAGUCACGGCU